RNAcentral lists this long non-coding RNA (5690 nucleotides) under Sus scrofa (pig). RNAcentral describes it as "lncRNA (ENSSSCG00050009443.1)". The record is from RNAcentral. Lineage: Eukaryota; Metazoa; Chordata; Mammalia; Artiodactyla; Suidae.
UUCCUCCUCUGAGCUGUUCCCCCAGGGAGCUGAGCCCAAGAACUGUUCCUCUGUCUCAGUCAGCAGGCGACCUUGGGUGAUGCCCCCAGCCUCUCUGAACCUCGGCUUCACUGUCUAGGCAGCAAGGACGCCAAAGCCAGCCUCACUUCGUCCUUGAGGGGAUUGAGGGAGAUGAGGCUGAAUAAGCCCGUGGUAAGCUGUAAAGCCGGGCUCGGCUUUGGAGCUGCCGAUUAGAGAGUGUCACGAGGUCCUGGGUCACUGUGAUAGGUGGCAGGGGCCAAGGCGCACUCGAGCUCUUGUCCCUCGAGGUGCCCUUGUCCUGACCUGUGGCGCAGCCACAUUCGAUCUUCUCGGCCCCAGCCUUCCCAUAUCAUCCUGCAGAGAUCCAGUCACAUCCGAUUUGCAGAGUUGGGAGGCCCUAGGGAUCAGGUAGUGCCCAUUUUACAGAUGGUCAGACUGAGAGCCGCCCAGAGGACCUGGCCUUGAUUGGACAGAGGCAGGAUGGGGCUUCAAAGGCCUUCCCUUGGCCAGCUGUGAGUUCAGGCUCUGUGGAACUUUAGUCAUUGAUGUCUCAGAGACUUGAAAUUGGACCCGGACCUGGGAAGACAAGGGACAGAGGUGCCCGGUCUUCAGGGCUAGAGGGUGAGUGUGUGGGCCCCCCACUUACCCAUUCUCCCUUCUCUGUGCCCUCUCAGGGAAUCCUGCCACUCCUUUCUACUCAGGGUCUGCCCUGCACGAGGCCAUGGGCUCCGGGGAUGGUGCGUUCUAACUCUCUGCCUGUCAGUGCUUGUCAAAGGAUUUGGGAGCCUGUCAGACUUUAUCUGAAAGUCUUUCCAAAGGUCCCAAAAUGAUAAGACACUUGUGAGUCAUUAAACACAUUCCCGUAUACAGGAAAGAGCUGAAAAAUAAAUUAUAAGGAGCACCUGGAAUGCAGGCUGACCACAGGUGGAGGAAGUCUGGGUGGGAAUUCGGGGUGACCUUGGAACCCCAAGGUCACCCAGCAGAUGUGGCUGACCCCCUCCUUUUGCAGAAGGUCAUAAGCGAGGUUCUUCAGAGCCACAUCUCACUCCUCUGUGUUGGUCAGCUUAUCUUGGCCAGUGUUUGUUUGAAUUUACGGGUUCCGGGGAGGAGUUCUGGAUGUGGAAAUGCCCAGGGUGGCCCUGAGGUGUGAUGGGAGCUCUUUUUUUAAUGUGCUUCGUGUCUUGGGUUAAUAAACCUUGCUAUUGUCAGUUCUGGCUGGACACUGAAUUUGGGGUAGAAUAUUGGCUUUUGAGAAGCUCAUGGCCCAGAGGAAGAUGGACAGUGUGGCAGCUUCUGUGACCAUGCCGCCCAUGAGGGGCCAUCACUGAGUGUUUGAAGAUGGCAAGACAGGAGGCAUUUCAGCUUCUUAGAGGAGGUGAUGCUAGAGCUGGCAACUUCUGUGAGCAGAGGAACAGAACGGGCUGGCAUUUGGGGCAGGGGGCAAGGCAGGCGUGAGGUGUGAGAUAGCCAAGCGUGUUUGUACAACAAGGCUCACAGGGAUCCAGCUGGGGAGAGGAAUAGGCGCCAGGUGGUGGGGGGCCUUGAGCGCAGGGGAAACGGGGCUGGGCUUUAUUCUGAAGCAGCAGAGAUAGAAAUAGCAUCAGGCUGGCUUUGGGAACAGCAGAGUAGAAGCCAGUUAAACCCAGGAGACCCUCCUGCUGAGUGAGGAACUAGAUGGGGUCCAGGCCAGAAGGUGGCCAGGCCACUGCACAAAGUUUUUUCUGUGCCAGCAAAAAUUGCCCUGAGCUCUUUUGUAAACAUGGGGUGAAGGCCCGGACAUGCCGUUUAACAGGUACACAGACCAUUAACUGCGCCUAUGACCUCCCUGGAGCAUGUGCAGCCCUGGCGCCUUAUGUCUGUCCUGGACAAGACUUCUUUCAGGGUUUCCUGCCCACCUCACCUGUUCAGGGGCUUGGUUUGGAAACCUGAGCUGAGGCGCAAGGGUUAGGGGUGGCCAAGAGAGGGCAGAAAGAAUGGAAAUUUCUCUUCUGUUUCUAAAGGUCUGUAAGUCAACCAACUCUCUCUUGUAAAAACCAACCUACAAACAAGUCACUGAACAUAAUAAAAGGAGAGUGGGUGUGGGGGCAGGGGGCAGGUCCAUUAACUCUAGUCAGGCAUCAGAAUUACCUGAGCUACUUCUAACGAAUUCAGGUUCCCAGGCCUGGAUGCCAAAUCCUUGGGGGUGGAGCUUAGGAAUCUGUACUUUUAAAAGUUUUCUCUUGCAAGUUUUUUAAAAAAUAUAUUAAAAUUGAGGUAUAAUUUGCAUUCAGUGAAAUGCAAAGAUUGUGUUACUAUUUAUUGAGUCUUGCGCAUUUAUAGAUCUGUGUAACUACCAUCCAGAUCCAGAUAUAGAACAUUUCCCAGCUCCCCCAGAAAGUUACGCUCCUCCCCUUCCAAAGGCAACCAGUUUCUCAUUUCUAUCGCCAUUCGCUUUGCCAAGCCUAGAACUUCAUAUGAAUGCCUUUGUAGGACAUAUUUUGUGUCUGGCUUCUUUCUGCCCGAUGUUUUGCGAUCCAUCCGUGCUACUGAGUGUAUCAAUAGUUCAUCCUUUUAUUGCAGAGGAGUAAGGCCAUUGCAUGGAUGCCCCAUAGUUUGUUUAUCCACUCUCCUGUGCAUGAACAUUUGGGUUGUUUCCAGUUUGGGGUGAUUGUAAAUGAAGCUUCCAUGAGCCUUUGUGUACAAGUCUCUUUGUGGGCGGAUAGUUUCAUUUCUUUAGGAGUGGAACUGCUGGGAUGUAGGGUGGGUAAUUUGCUAGCUUUAUGAGAAACUGUCAAAGAGUAUCUUUUAAUUACAAAACAGUAGACCUCAAACAAUACAAAACUGUACAAAUUAAAAACAAUUCAUAGUCUAAUCCUCAGUCUGUGUGAUCAUCUGUCAUCUAUCACCUACCUCUUCCUAUAAUAACAAUAAAGAUCUUUAAGAUUAUACAUUGUCCUCUGCAUACAGCUUUAACUGUAUCCCUCAGCUAUCUAGGUGGACAGAUAUUCCUUUUAAUCACUUUUUAGAUCGCUUUUGAUUUCCUUUUUGAUCCAGGGGUUAAUUAAGAUCUGUUGGGCAAGCUAGCCAUAGUGCUGUUUUGUUGGUAACAAACUGUUCUUGGUUCUGCUACUUAUCCUAUUCAAACAACAGACUAUUGUGGACAGGUCAUUUGUCAGAACAUACAGAUCUGCCUAGCCAUUCUGAACAGCUAUCCUGCACUGGGGAAUCAAUGACUAAGUCUGGCCUGACUUAAUCACCCUGAGUGCCACCAGCUCAGUGAGUGAAACACGCCUACCUUAUGGCUUUGAGUUUGCCUCGAAGGUGAACAGAGAAACAUCCCAAGGCCACUCAGGAUUCUGAGAUGGGAAGGAACCCAUAUUUACUCAUCACAUCCCCGCCCUGCAUUUAAGCCCUGUGCCUAGCUGGGGGGUCCUCACCUUCAUCUUCUAGGUGAGUUCAUCCAGUCUCAGAAAAGUGACUUACCACCCUUACACGGCAGGGACCUGGGAAGGAGAACCAGAACCAGGGCCCAGCCACGUUCCACUGCAGGUGUCAGGCAUAGGGCCACAGCCAGAGGAAGGGAUGGGGAGAUAAAACAGCCCUUGGGCUCAAGUAGCUCAGGGAGGGGAGAAGAGCUGUAUCAGGGCUGUUAAAUGAAGAAUCCCAAGGGAAGGUGUAAGGGAGGAGGGCCCAAUGGCUGGGAGUGUGGGGAUUUGGGAUCAUUCAUUUAAGCCUCCUUGCCCACCCCCUUCAUGGAUGAAGAGACUGAGGUCUGAGUGAAGCAUGGAUCAACAAGAGGGCCUUGUUCACAAACUUGUUCUCCCUACCUGCCUGCCGUUCAGGGCCCAUGUUAAACAGGUGAAGUGGAGGACGGUGUUUUUACUUCUUGUCUCAGACUUCUGAUGACUCUUCACGACUCUCAGAUCCUGAUUGUAUCAUAGCAGUGGGCCAGGGGUAAAAGGGCAAAGCUGUACUGAUCUGAAAGAUCCCUAGGGCUUGGCUGUGCAAGGGCCGCCUGCGAGUUCUGGACCCGAUAUUCCUGGACUGCAGGGCUGCCUGCUCAGGGAGGAGCCUGGCUCCUAGCUCUGGUGGAAUCAAACUGGGGCAGUUGUGAGAAUGCUGGUGAGCCUCCCUGCUGGAGUGUGGGACAGCUGCAUUCUUCUGGUUCCGCCCAUCUUGGGUCCCCCCGGCCACACACUGCCCCUCAACUUUGCCCUCUGAGCCCAUAGCUCCGAGGUUGGGACCACAUCCCUGCUGGGUCCCUCGUGUGGACAUUCUGAGAGUUUACCCCUUCUCACCACUCUCCUUUGCAUCCACCAUCCCCUUUCCUGCAGAAAGUCCUUCACUCAGCCAGAUUGCCCGUCCCCUGGUGGCAGGGUGGAGCAGUGGGGUGGGGUUGGCCUUGGGUUUCAGCAUUGUCAUGCUUAGUGGGGGAAGGACUCCAGAAGGGGGGGUGGUCCUGAAGCCUCUGCCCUUUUACUCCCUAGCCAGAUGGCACCUGGAUGCCUUGUCUAUUCAGUCCUGAUGGUGGACUCAGGCCGUGAUUUUAAGGACAUUUGUGCUAUCUCCAGGUGGAUGCCACCCACAACCCAAGACAACAGCUCCUCACAGCCUCCAUGCCUCCUGGGGUCAGCUCUCAGCAUGUCACUGUCCUGCUCCCCAGUCCUCGGUGGCUCCCUAGUGCUUUGUGAAAUCAAGGACUAACUCCACAGCCUGGUGUUCGAAGCCCUUCAUAAUCUGGCUCCUGGCCAGUGUUGCUUCUCACCUGCCACCACUUCUCUCUGCUCCUUGUCCUCUGGCUGGCUCUGCUCCUGGACCGAGCCUGUACCCCUGCCUGAGAGCCCCUCCCCUCCUCCUUCCCACUAUCAAGGGUCUGUUUGCGCUGCUUCCUGUAGCCUCCCUUGAGCCCCAAGUGGUGCCAGGCAUGUAGUGAGCACUCAGCAAAGGUUAUCUGGGUGUGAGUGGACUUAAGCUCCUCCCUGCUCUGAGCCUCUGUGGUCCUUUUAUCCAGCCACCUCAGGCACCUCAGGGGAGUGACAGAUGCCUAGAAUCCAGCACUACCUGGCACUCUGUGGUGCUCAGAGCACCAAUAAAGGCCAUCUCAUUCCCUCUGUCCUGAAAUGAGAGCCUAUAGUUGGAACAUCUGAGUGGGACCAGGUUUGGAAGUUGUGUGCAGCCAGCACCAUCCAUCUAUCCAACCAAUAUUUGUUCUAGACCCUGUUCUAAGCUCUGGGGAUGUGACAGGUGAACAAGACAGACCAAUUCAGGCCCUCAUGGAGCUGACCACGGAACGGAUGAAUGAGUUAUCACAGGGCACUGAAAUCCUUGGCCACUGGCUUGCUGUGUGACCGAGGCAAGCCCUUUCCUCUCUCUGGUCCUGACCUGGAAGGAAACUUCGUGUUGGAGAGAAAUUGCUGCUGAGUGAAGCAGGGGAAAGACCCUUCUCUCUGUUAGGGGGCAUACGUCAUCCAUUAACCCUGUGCUGCUCUGUGGCCCCCUUUAAGGAUUCCCAAUGUAGUCCUGUUGGUUUUCAGGAUGUUUUGGCCUUUGCUCUGUAAGGGGGCACCAGAUUUGGGGAUUGACGCUCAGAGGUGCUCUGAGCAGAGCUAUAGCAAUGGGCUUUUAAUGAAAAACACUUCCUUGGGUUUUUAUUCCAUUAUUGGUAGAAGAGUAUAGAUCACAAUAGACCC